Molecule: transfer RNA, 72 nt
Filed under: Ictidomys tridecemlineatus (thirteen-lined ground squirrel)
Lineage: Eukaryota; Metazoa; Chordata; Mammalia; Rodentia; Sciuridae
Description: Spermophilus tridecemlineatus (thirteen-lined ground squirrel) tRNA
Rfam family: tRNA
About the family: Transfer RNA (tRNA) molecules are approximately 80 nucleotides in length. Their secondary structure includes four short double-helical elements and three loops (D, anti-codon, and T loops). Further hydrogen bonds mediate the characteristic L-shaped molecular structure. tRNAs have two regions of fundamental functional importance: the anti-codon, which is responsible for specific mRNA codon recognition, and the 3' end, to which the tRNAs corresponding amino acid is attached (by aminoacyl-tRNA synthetases). tRNAs cope with the degeneracy of the genetic code in two manners: having more than one tRNA (with a specific anti-codon) for a particular amino acid; and 'wobble' base-pairing, i.e. permitting non-standard base-pairing at the 3rd anti-codon position.
Source: Rfam by way of RNAcentral
GGGAGUAUACCUCAACGGUAGAGUACUUGCUUAUCAUGUGUGAGGUCUUGGGUUUGAUUCCUAGUGCUGUCA